CAAUAGCGUAUAUUAAAGUUGUUGCAGUUAAAAAGCUCGUAGUUGGAUUUCUGGUUGAAGCGACCGGUCGGGCGUUGAUUCGUCUGCACUGGAGUCGGUUUUGGCCAUCCUCUAGGAAAGUGCGUCUGGUAUUAAGUUAUCGGGCGUAUGAUCCUGGUCUUUUACUGUGAAAAAAUUAGAGUGUUUAAAGCAGGCCUUCGCCUUGAAUACAUUAGCAUGGAAUAAUAAGAUAGGACUUUGGUCUAUUUUGUUGGUUUGCAGACCGAAGUAUGAUUAAUAGGGAUAGUUGGGGGUAUUUAUAUUCCGAUGUCAGAGGUGAAAUUCUUAGAUUUUCGGAAGAUAAACUUAUGCGAAAGCAUUUACCAAGGAUGUUUUCAUUAA
This 381-nucleotide ribosomal RNA is filed under the name uncultured eukaryote. RNAcentral's name for it is "partial 18S ribosomal RNA". It matches the Rfam family "Eukaryotic small subunit ribosomal RNA", at positions 592 to 976 of the family's 1831-position model. The record is from RNAcentral.